This 519-nucleotide ribosomal RNA is filed under the name uncultured bacterium. Its description in RNAcentral is "partial 16S ribosomal RNA". It matches the Rfam family "Bacterial small subunit ribosomal RNA", at positions 29 to 523 of the family's 1533-position model. The record is from RNAcentral.
AAUGAACGCUGGCGGCGUGCUUAACACAUGCAAGUCGAACGAGAAAGGGAUUGCUUGCAAUCCCGAGUAGAGUGGCGCACGGGUGAGUAACACGUAGAUAAUCUACCCUCGAGCCUGGGAUAACUAUUCGAAAGGAUAGCUAAUACCGGAUGAAGUAGGCUUACUUAAGUGCGUUUAUGAAAGAUUGCCUCUGCAUAUGCAAUUGUUUGGGGAUGAGUUUGCGGAGCAUUGGCUGGUUGGUAGGGUAAAGGCCUACCAAGGCGAUGAUGGUUAGCUGGUCUGAGAGGAUGAUCAGCCACACUGGAACUGGAACACGGUCCAGACUCCUACGGGAGGCAGCAGUGAGGAAUUUUGCGCAAUGGGGGCAACCCUGACGCAGCAACGCCGCGUGAGUGAAGAAGGCCUUUGGGUCGUAAAGCUCUGUCAACCGGGAAGAAGUUAUAUGAGUCGAAUAGGCUUAUGUAUUGACGGUACCGGUGAAGGAAGCAUCGGCUAACUCCGUGCCAGCCGCCGCCGUAA